Molecule: long non-coding RNA, 3971 nt
Filed under: Homo sapiens (human)
Lineage: Eukaryota; Metazoa; Chordata; Mammalia; Primates; Hominidae
Description: HSALNT0183808
Source: RNAcentral
CUCCUCCACAACAAAGGCAGGAAGCUCAGCUGCUCAACCACCAAAACAAACCUGAUUUCUGUCUUUCUUUCAUUAAAACAACUCUUGCUUAUCUGGGAGGAGAUGUGGGAAAAGGAAAGAAAACAAAAUGAAACAAAACAACAACAAAGAAUAGUUUCUGUAAAUUCUUAGAUUUGACCAAUAUAUCCAUUCAACAAAUAUUUACUAGGCACCUUCUAUGUGCUAGCCACUGCACUAAUGAUGGGCUGAAGGCAGUCCCUGGAUCUCAGGUGCUCAGAAAUUAGUAAGAAAGACAGACAAGUUUUUUAAAAAAGUCACAAGCUUGUCAUACCCGGCUUGAAAAGAGGUAUUAAUGAGGCCUCUGGAAGAACAGUGGAGGAAGCACUUAAGUCAGCCUGGGGAAGUCAGAGAAGACUUUCUGAUGGAUGUGAUGUUAGCUAGGCUUUGAAGGAGUAAGAGCUUGGGUGGAAGGUUAUAUCUUGCAGAAAGAUGUUACUAUACAAAGGGAAAAUACCAAGAUUCCAGAAGAAAAGGAUAGUUUGUGGAACCCACAAGCGGUGAGAGUGAAGGGUUAGGGGAGACGAGGCUGGAAAGAGAGGGAGGGCCAGAGCAGGAGGGAUUUGGAUAUACUUUCCCCCAUUAACCAAUAGGGAGGCGAGAAUUUUAAGAAAGGACUGACAAUGAUAGAACUGCCUUUAAGAAACUUCAUCCUCACAGAAAAUGACCUGAAAGGGGAGGAAGACAAAGGCAGGAAGACCACUUAGGAAGCUGCUACAAACAGAAAAUAAAAGGCAGUGGCAUUGAGAAGAGAGAGGAGACACUGGUUUGAGAUAUACUGCAGAACCAGCAGAGAAGGCCAAAACUUAGCAGCCAACUGCAUGUGUGGGAGGAGGAGCCAAGACUUCAAAAUGACUUCUAGAUUUCUGAGGCUAAAUGAUCCCAGCUGACAUAGGCCGAAAUGGGGAAAAAAGGAGACGCAGUGGGGCUGUGGCUGAAGCAGAGACAGAGAGAGGGGUUUGUGUUUGCAUGCAUUACUGAGGCACCUGUAGGGUAUCCCGGUGGACAUGUCUAGCAGACAGCUUCAAAGACGUGUGAAACUCAGAAGAGAGGUCGGGUCAGAACAAAGAAACAGUCUGGGAGUCAUCAGAAUAUAAUUCAUGGGGCUCAGCACAGUGACUCAUGUAUGUAAUCCCAGCACUCUGGGAGGCCAAGGCAGGAGGAUCGCUUGAGUUCCAGACCAGCCUGGGCAAUAAAGACAGACCCUGUCUCUACAUAAAAUUUAAAAAAUUAGCUGGGUAUGGUGGCAUGCACCUGUAGUCUCAGCUACUUGGGAGGCAGAGAUGGGAGGAUUGCUUGAGCCCAGGGGGUUGAGGCUGCAGUGAGCUGUGAUCGUGGCACUGCACUCUAGCCUGGGUGACGGAGUGAGACCAUGUCUCAAAAAAUUUUUUAAAUAAAAAACAAAGAAAAUAAGUCAUCGGUGCAGAUGAGAUUGCCACAGCAAGUGACAGGAUAAAAGUGACACCUCUGCCUGCCUGCCUCCAAAUUAACAAGGAAGAGGGACAGAGCUCAGUGCUAUCAACUUGAUUACUGCCAUAUGCCACCCCGUCAGCCAGACCUCAGAACAGACUGAAGUUCCACCCAUCUCACACAUAGUCAAAGAAUGCAAUGAAGGAGAAAACCACACGACCGCAGCUUCAGCAAACUCACUCACUAGCCUCGCUCUGGUGCCCCAAGCUCAGUUUACAAUGACUGACACAGGUGUAUGACACAAAUACUUCACAACAUGCUUCUUUCGGGGAACCAGGAAGAUAAAAUAGGAGGAAUAUAAGAGUUUAAGAAAAGUCACUCUGUGCCUCCAAAUAGACUUCCAAAUAGUACAUCUUCACUCCCUGUCAAUGUGUGUAUUUCAGGAACACAAACUCCCUUUUACAUCGAAUAGAACUACAAAGGUUAUUCUAAUGCCUUGUUCUUGAUCAAGAAAUACAUCCCAAAGCCAAAUAAUAAGAAACAUAUUGUCUAAGAAAAGUCACUCUGUGCCUCCAAAUAGACUUCCAAAUAGUACAUCUUUACUCCCUGUCCAUGUGUGUAUUUCAGGAACACAAACUCCCUUUUACAUCGAAUAGAACUACAAAGGUUAUUCUAAUGCCUUGUUCUUGAUCAAGAAAUACAUCCCAAAGCCAAAUAAUAAGAAACAUGUUGUCUAAGAAAAGUCACUCUGUGCCUCCAAAUAGACUUCCAAAUAGUACAUCUUUACUCCCUGUCCAUGUGUGUAUUUCAGGAACACAAACUCCCUUUUACAUCAAAUAGAACUACAAAGGUUAUUCUAAUGCCUUGUUCUUGAUCAAGAAAUACAUCCCAAAGCCAAAUAAUCAGAAACAUAUUGUCCAUCAUUCUGUGUUAUUCUACUUCCAUGUCCUCACGUAACCAUGGAUAAUUGAGCGUGAACAAUAUACUUCAGCACAAAGCUGGGACUGGCUCCAUCUACAACACCAACUGAGACUGGCCCAUGUGGCCAAAGUAAGAAAUUUAAGGCAAAGGGUUGAAACAUGCACUCCUUAUCAGUAGACAGGGCGAUCUUCUUCAGGUAAAACAGGUACAGGAGGAAGAGCAGCAAGCCAGUGGGUGAUAACUCAAUUUGUGAAAUGGAAACAUUUUACUACAACUACCAUAAUUUUAUAAAGGAACCCUCUAUAAGGGUCAUGCAUGAUCCCCUGGCAUGCCCAACAUUCUCACCAAGUGAUGUUAUUUUCCUUGCUUGGUAGCUGAGAAAGCCGAGGCCCAGAGAGUGGCUAAAUUCCCCCAGUCUCAUGGUCAACUCAGUGCAGGGUGGCCAAGGGCCCGGGAAGAGUUACUAGUGGAAGCAACAAAAGGUUCUGAGAAAAUUCAGCAGGGAUGAUGGAUGUCUCAGGAGUAAGGAGAUAGACAAGAAAUCAGGUGGGGCAGGAACAGCAAGCAGUUUCUUCAACUCCCUUUCAUUUAGACCAGAGGAAGGCCUUGACACGGUUCCUAGAACAGCUAAUUUCACACUGUCUGGGGCAGAAGACAUUCUGGGUUAUCUUUCACAUACUGGUAAGGUACCACCAUCUGGGAGUGAUGGUAUAGACACAGACUAAACAUGCCUGCCAACACUAAUUAUUAUUAUGGAGCCAAAGAAUCAAUGCAAUAACUUUAAAACUGCUACUAAAAAAUACCUUGCUCAAUAGGCAAGGAUUUCUCGACUAUUUACUAUGCGUAGCAUAAUAUGCUUUGGACUCAUCCUGUUUAUCCUGGGGUUCUUUGCUAGAGAUGAUUUUACCCUCCAGAGGAUAUACAGCAAUAUCUGAAGACAUUUUUGUGGUCGCAAGUGGGGGAUGCUACUGUUGUCUGGUCAGUAGAGGCUGGGAAUGCUGCUAAACAUCCCAUGACAACAUGCCAAACGAUGCCAGACAUCACAGUGCUGCUACUGAGGAACCUUGCCAUCUACCCCACCAUUGAACCCAGAAGCAGGAAAGCAGAAGGCAUGGAACUCACUCUUCGGCCCCUUUUCUGGUACACUAAGACCUUUCAUAUUCUGGCUUUAAAAUAACAACAAAGAGCUUCCUGUAAGAUCAGCCAGUCUUCAACCUGAUUUCAUGUUCUUAAAUACCAGAGGCAAAAUGCUUGAGGCUGAGCAGUGAACCCAAGAGCCAGGCCACAAGGCCUCCUUUUCCCAGGGUUUCUCCUACCUGUGUCUCCGUGUUUCCUGCCUCUGUGAAAAAAAGACGGCAAAUUCUUUGCUAAACUCUCAGGAUAAGAGAGUUUAACAAAGAUUCCCCAAGGAAGUCUCUAAAAACAGAGUUAUGUAUGCAGUGUGUGGUAUCGGUAUGGAUUCUCUACCAGAGGUGUGUAGCUCACAGGGUAUUUACUGUGAUUCUACUCCUAACCUAACGACAAAAACAACUUAUUUUAAAAGUACCCAAGCAUUUUAAUAAUACACAAGAGUCUAAAUAAGG